Nothoprocta perdicaria is the source of this 493-nucleotide long non-coding RNA. RefSeq lists it as uncharacterized. The transcript is spliced from 3 exons. The record is from RefSeq and is a predicted model, not a curated record. Lineage: Eukaryota; Metazoa; Chordata; Aves; Tinamiformes; Tinamidae.
GAUGGAGCAGCAGAAUACAGAAAAGCAAUGUCUUCCCAUUCCUGUGAAGGAACAGCAAAAGGACAACUGUAAGCUUCUUCAGCACAUAAGAGUAUCCACACUGUGACAAGGGCAGACAUCAUGUGGCUUCCAGCAGUGUGGAAUACAGUGAAGAUGGAUGGUAGCAACUCCUAAGGCCAGGAAGCACUGGACUUGGAGAAGAACAGGUGUGGUGUCUCAUGUACCACAUGCGAAGAUGUCUGGGUCAAGAUGACGCUAACUGUAGGUAUCAGCAGAAGAACUAACAGUCCAAUCUGUGAGUGUGAAACAGGGAAAUUUUGAAGUGAGCCGAAGACCGGCCUGAAGACAUAGAAAUGCAGAGGAAGACUACCAACUGACUGCCUUCAUCAGCCUAUCUACAAAUAACCUGCACACUGCCAAGAUUCAAUGGCAUUGUAACUGCAGCAUAGUUAAUUCCUUGAAGCCUUUCUUGUUUUAAAUCUAAACAAAAUUC